This 460-nucleotide ribosomal RNA is filed under the name uncultured bacterium. Its description in RNAcentral is "partial 16S ribosomal RNA". It matches the Rfam family "Bacterial small subunit ribosomal RNA", at positions 338 to 795 of the family's 1533-position model. The record is from RNAcentral.
CCUACGGGUGGCAGCAGUGAGGAAUAUUGGUCAAUGGGCGCGAGCCUGAACCAGCCAAGUAGCGUGAAGGAUGACUGCCCUACGGGUUGUAAACUUCUUUUAUAAAGGAAUAAAGUGAGGCAAGGGUGCCUUUUUGUAGGUACUUUAUGAAAAAGGACGGGCUAACGACGUGCCAGCAGCCGCGGUAAUACGGGGGAUCCGAGCGUUAUCCGGAUUGAUUGGGUUUAAAGGGAGCGUAGAUGGGUUGUUAAGUCAGUUGUGAAAUUUUGCGGCUCAACCGUAAAAUUGCAAUUGAUACUGGCAGCCUUGAGUACAGUUGAGGUAGGCGGAAUUCGUGGUGUAGCGGUGAAAUGCUUAGAUAUCACGAAGAACUCCGAUUGCGAAGGCAGCUUACUAAACUGCCACUGACAUUGAUGCUCGAAAGUGUGGGUAUCAAACAGGAGUAGAUACCCUUGUAGUC